Molecule: ribosomal RNA, 373 nt
Filed under: uncultured bacterium
Lineage: Bacteria
Description: bacterial SSU rRNA
Rfam family: Bacterial small subunit ribosomal RNA
Source: RNAcentral
GGGGGGAGCAAGCGUUGUUCGGAUUUACUGGGCGUAAAGGGCGCGUAGGCGGUCAGCACAAGUCAGUUGUGAAAUCUCCGGGCUUAACUCGGAAAGGUCAACUGAUACUGUGCGACUAGAGUGCAGAAGGGGCAACUGGAAUCCUCGGUGUAGCGGUGAAAUGCGUAGAUAUCGAGAGGAACACCUGCGGCGAAGGCGGGUUGCUGGGCUGACACUGACGCUGAUGCGCGAAAGCCAGGGGAGCGAACGGGAUUAGAUACCCCGGUAGUCCUGGCCUUAAACGAUGGAUGCUUGGUGUCUGGAGUUUUAUAGUCUCCGGGUGCCGUAGCUAACGCGUUAAGCAUCCCGCCUGGGGAGUACGGUCGCAAGACUG